Molecule: long non-coding RNA, 224 nt
Filed under: Elaeis guineensis (African oil palm)
Lineage: Eukaryota; Viridiplantae; Streptophyta; Magnoliopsida; Arecales; Arecaceae
Description: long non-coding RNA (EGUI_LNC076510)
Source: RNAcentral
GAUGAAGUUGAAUAGGCUCUCGUCAGAAUAUGAGGUUGGAUUUUAAAAGUUUUUUGAUUUUGCUAUAGAAAAAUUCAAAGACCAUGGACUUUCUAAUAUCCUUGUAAGAAGUGUAUGGGUGGGCUUUGGCUACCUUGUCAAAAUGUAAAUAAUCACCUCACUAUUUAUGGCUUUAAAUCUGGCUAUGAAAUUUAUUGGGAUCAAUAUGGUAAGUGCAGGCCCCA